GUAGUGGACUCCGGUUAAGUACUGAGGGAGGGAACUGUUGCUCCUGCUUUAUCCUCCAUCCCGGACACGCGCAGCUCCCGCGAGCCUCAGGUACAGAGAGCUCCAGCACUCCCGCACUCUCGGCCUCCAGUGCUGUUCCACAGCCUGCCAUGAGCUACUACAUGCAUCAGGUUUCGUCUUACCAGCCCCAUCACCCGACUGACCGUCUGGGUGCAAUGGCUGGCGGGGUGGCGGUUUCCAUGGUAACGCCGACUCAUCUCCCCGGGAUGGGCCACCUCCAGCAUGCACCCCCUGCCAGACCCGCGUACGCCCAUGACAUCACCCUGCAGGAGGUGCCCAACGGCCCAGAGCUCGGCC
This is a long non-coding RNA of Colossoma macropomum (tambaqui), 357 nucleotides long. RefSeq lists it as uncharacterized. The transcript is spliced from 3 exons. Lineage: Eukaryota; Metazoa; Chordata; Actinopteri; Characiformes; Serrasalmidae. The record is from RefSeq and is a predicted model, not a curated record.